ACGUAGGAUCCGAGCGUUAUCCGAAUUCACUGGGCGUAAAGCGCGUGCAGGCGGUUCGGUAAGUUGGAUGUGAAAUCUCCUGGCUCAACUGGGAGAGGACGUUCAAUACUGUCGGACUAGAGGACGGUAGAGGGAGGUGGAAUUCCCGGUGUAGUGGUGAAAUGCGUAGAUAUCGGGAGGAACACCAGUGGCGAAGGCGGCCUCCUGGACCGUUCCUGACGCUCAGACGCGAAAGCUAGGGGAGCAAACGGGAUUAGAAACCCCGGUAGUCCUAGCCGUAAACUAUGUAGACUUGGUGUCGGUGGUGUAAAAACCAUCGGUGCCGUAGCUAACGCGUUAAGUCUACCGCCUGGGGACUACGGCCGCAAGGUUA
This 373-nucleotide ribosomal RNA is filed under the name uncultured bacterium. RNAcentral's name for it is "bacterial SSU rRNA". It matches the Rfam family "Bacterial small subunit ribosomal RNA", at positions 525 to 896 of the family's 1533-position model. The record is from RNAcentral.